This 497-nucleotide ribosomal RNA is filed under the name uncultured bacterium. Its description in RNAcentral is "partial 16S ribosomal RNA". It matches the Rfam family "Bacterial small subunit ribosomal RNA", at positions 28 to 507 of the family's 1533-position model. The record is from RNAcentral.
GAUGAACGCUGGCGGCGCGCCUAAUACAUGCAAGUCGAGCGAACAGACGAGGAGCUUGCUCCUCUGACGUUAGCGGCGGACGGGUGAGUAACACGUGGAUAACCUACCUAUAAGACUGGGAUAACUUCGGGAAACCGGAGCUAAUACCGGAUAAUAUAUUGAACCGCAUGGUUCAAUAGUGAAAGACGGUUUUGCUGUCACUUAUAGAUGGAUCCGCGCCGCAUUAGCUAGUUGGCAAGGUAACGGCUUACCAAGGCAACGAUGCGUAGCCGACCUGAGAGGGUGAUCGGCCACACUGGAACUGAGACACGGUCCAGACUCCUACGGGAGGCAGCAGUAGGGAAUCUUCCGCAAUGGGCGAAAGCCUGACGGAGCAACGCCGCGUGAGUGAUGAAGGUCUUCGGAUCGUAAAACUCUGUUAUUAGGGAAGAACAAAUGUGUAAGUAACUAUGCACGUCUUGACGGUACCUAAUCAGAAAGCCAUGGCUAACUACGUG